This 979-nucleotide ribosomal RNA is filed under the name Natara olivacea. RNAcentral describes it as "SSU rRNA". It matches the Rfam family "Eukaryotic small subunit ribosomal RNA", at positions 106 to 1094 of the family's 1831-position model. Lineage: Eukaryota; Fungi; Ascomycota; Leotiomycetes; Helotiales. The record is from RNAcentral.
UCAGUUAUCGUUUAUUUGAUAGUACCUUACUACUUGGAUAACCGUGGUAAUUCUAGAGCUAAUACAUGCUAAAAACCCCGACUUCGGAAGGGGUGUAUUUAUUAGAUAAAAAACCAAUGCCCUUCGGGGCUCCUUGGUGAUUCAUAAUAACUUAACGAAUCGCAUAGCCUUGUGCUGGCGAUGGUUCAUUCAAAUUUCUGCCCUAUCAACUUUCGAUUGUAUGGUAUUGGCUUACAAUGGUUUCAACGGGUAACGGGGAAUUAGGGUUCUAUUCCGGAGAGGGAGCCUGAGAAACGGCUACCACAUCCAAGGAAGGCAGCAGGCGCGCAAAUUACCCAAUCCCGACACGGGGAGGUAGUGACAAUAAAUACUGAUACAGGGCUCUUUUGGGUCUUGUAAUUGGAAUGAGUACAAUUUAAAUCCCUUAACGAGGAACAAUUGGAGGGCAAGUCUGGUGCCAGCAGCCGCGGUAAUUCCAGCUCCAAUAGCGUAUAUUAAAGUUGUUGCAGUUAAAAAGCUCGUAGUUGAACCUUGGGUUUGGUUGGUCGGUCCGCCUCACCGCGUGCACUGAUCCGACCGAAUCUUUCCUUCUGGGGAACCGUAUGCCCUUCACUGGGUGUGCUGGGGAACCAGGACUUUUACUUUGAAAAAAUUAGAGUGUUCAAAGCAGGCCUAUGCUCGAAUACAUUAGCAUGGAAUAAUAGAAUAGGACGUGUGGUUCUAUUUUGUUGGUUUCUAGGACCGCCGUAAUGAUUAAUAGGGAUAGUCGGGGGCAUCAGUAUUCAAUUGUCAGAGGUGAAAUUCUUGGAUUUAUUGAAGACUAACUACUGCGAAAGCAUUUGCCAAGGAUGUUUUCAUUAAUCAGUGAACGAAAGUUAGGGGAUCGAAGACGAUCAGAUACCGUCGUAGUCUUAACCAUAAACUAUGCCGACUAGGGAUCGGGCGUGUUAUCUUUUUGACCCGCUCGGCACCUUACGAG